This 451-nucleotide ribosomal RNA is filed under the name uncultured bacterium. RNAcentral's name for it is "bacterial SSU rRNA". It matches the Rfam family "Bacterial small subunit ribosomal RNA", at positions 29 to 524 of the family's 1533-position model. The record is from RNAcentral.
AACGAACGCUGGCGGCAUGCCUAACACAUGCAAGUCGAACGAAGCCUUCGGGCUUAGUGGCGCACGGGUGCGUAACGCGUGGGAAUCUGCCCUUGGGUUCGGAAUAACAGUUAGAAAUGACUGCUAAUACCGAAUGAUGUCUUCGGACCAAAGAUUUAUCGCCCAAGGAUGAGCCCGCGUCGGAUUAGCUAGUUGGUGAGGUAAAGGCUCACCAAGGCGACGAUCCGUAGCUGGUCUGAGAGGAUGAUCAGCCACACUGGGACUGAGACACGGCCCAGACUCCUACGGGAGGCAGCAGUGGGGAAUAUUGGACAAUGGGCGAAAGCCUGAUCCAGCAAUGCCGCGUGAGUGAUGAAGGCCUUAGGGUUGUAAAGGCUCUUUUACCCGGGAUGAUAAUGACAGUACCGGGAGAAUAAGCCCGGCUAACUCCGUGCCACGCAGCCGCGGUAAU